AUGCACGCUGGCGGCGUGCCUAAUACAUGCAAGUCGCGCGAACAGACGAGGAGCUUGCUCCUCUGACGUUAGCGGCGGACGGGUGAGUAACACGUGGAUAACCUACCUAUAAGACUGGGAUAACUUCGGGAAACCGGAGCUAAUACCGGAUAAUAUAUUGAACCGCAUGGUUCAAUAGUGAAAGACGGUUUUGCUGUCACUUAUAGAUGGAUCCGCGCCGCAUUAGCUAGUUGGUAAGGUAACGGCUUACCAAGGCAACGAUGCGUAGCCGACCUGAGAGGGUGAUCGGCCACACUGGAACUGAGACACGGUCCAGACUCCUACGGGAGGCAGCAGUAGGGAAUCUUCCGCAAUGGGCGAAAGCCUGACGGAGCAACGCCGCGUGAGUGAUGAAGGUCUUCGGAUCGUAAAACUCUGUUAUUAGGGAAGAACAAAUGUGUAAGUAACUAUGCACGUCUUGACGGUACCUAAUCAGGAAGCCACGGCUAACUACGUG
RNAcentral lists this ribosomal RNA (496 nucleotides) under uncultured bacterium. RNAcentral describes it as "partial 16S ribosomal RNA". It matches the Rfam family "Bacterial small subunit ribosomal RNA", at positions 29 to 507 of the family's 1533-position model. The record is from RNAcentral.